AUCACAUGGAGAUUUUGCUAGAAAGCAGACUCUGAUUCAGUAAAUGUGCACUGAAGCCUGAAAUUCUGCAUUUCUAGCAAGCUCCCAGGUGAUGCUAU
This 98-nucleotide microRNA precursor is filed under the name Callithrix jacchus (white-tufted-ear marmoset). RNAcentral describes it as "mir-544 microRNA precursor family". It matches the Rfam family "mir-544 microRNA precursor family". Lineage: Eukaryota; Metazoa; Chordata; Mammalia; Primates; Cebidae. The record is from Rfam by way of RNAcentral.